UAUAUUUGGAGAGAUGGCCGAGUGGACGAAAGCGGCGGAUUGCUAAUCCGUUGUACAAGUUUUUUGUACCGAGGGUUCGAAUCCUUUCUCUCCGU
Molecule: non-coding RNA, 95 nt
Organism: Marchantia paleacea
Lineage: Eukaryota; Viridiplantae; Streptophyta; Marchantiopsida; Marchantiales; Marchantiaceae
Source: the annotation of a GenBank genome assembly